GAACGCUAAGUUAGUUAAAGAUAAGUGCUGAAAGCAUAUAGGCACGAAACUUAUCUUAAGAUAUUUCUUAAAUAUACGUAAUAUACUAUUACGAAAUUUAUAGGCUUUAUCCGUACGAAUCUUGAGAUUUUAAAGAAUAAAGUACUAAUUUAAUAAUUCACUAU
This 164-nucleotide non-coding RNA is filed under the name Ophiocordyceps sinensis CO18. RNAcentral's name for it is "Bacterial large subunit ribosomal RNA". It matches the Rfam family "Bacterial large subunit ribosomal RNA", at positions 2744 to 2925 of the family's 2925-position model. Lineage: Eukaryota; Fungi; Ascomycota; Sordariomycetes; Hypocreales; Ophiocordycipitaceae. The record is from Rfam by way of RNAcentral.